AGAGUUUGAUCCUGGCUCAGGACGAACGCUGGCGGCGUGCCUAACACAUGCAAGUCGAACGAAGCUUGAAUUCAGAUUUCUUCGGAAUGAAGAAUGAUAUGACUGAGUGGCGGACGGGUGAGUAACGCGUGAGCAACCUGCCCUUCGGAGGGGGAUAGUGUCUGGAAACGGACAGUAAUACCGCAUAACGUAUUUUUACCGCAUGAUAGAAAUACCAAAACUGAGGUGCCGAAGGAUGGGCUCGCGUUGGAUUAGAUAGUUGGUGGGGUAACGGCCUACCAAGUCAACGAUCCAUAGCCGGACUGAGAGGUUGAACGGCCACAUUGGGACUGAGACACGGCCCAGACUCCUACGGGAGGCAGCAGUGGGGAAUACUGCACAAUGGGGGAAACCCUGAUGCAGCAACGCCGCGUGAAGGAAGACGGUUUUCGGAUUGUAAACUUCUGUUCUUAGUGAAGAAAAAUGACGGUAGCUAAGGAGCAAGCCACGGCUAACUACGUG
RNAcentral lists this ribosomal RNA (501 nucleotides) under uncultured Eubacteriales bacterium. RNAcentral describes it as "bacterial SSU rRNA". It matches the Rfam family "Bacterial small subunit ribosomal RNA", at positions 8 to 507 of the family's 1533-position model. Lineage: Bacteria; Bacillati; Bacillota; Clostridia; Eubacteriales. The record is from RNAcentral.